This 468-nucleotide ribosomal RNA is filed under the name uncultured bacterium. RNAcentral describes it as "partial 16S ribosomal RNA". It matches the Rfam family "Bacterial small subunit ribosomal RNA", at positions 28 to 507 of the family's 1533-position model. The record is from RNAcentral.
GACGAACGCUGGCGGCGUGCUUAACACAUGCAAGUCGAACGGAAAGGCCCUUCUUUUGUGGGUUGCUCGAGUGGCGAACGGGUGAGUAACACGUGAGUAACCUGCCCUUGACUUUGGUAUAACUUCAGGAAACUGGGGCUAAUACCGGAUAGGAGCUCCUGCUGCAUGGUGGGGGUUGGAAAGUUUCGGCGGUUGGGGAUGGACUCGCGGCUUAUCAGCUUGUUGGUGGGGUAGUGGCUUACCAAGGCUUUGACGGGUAGCCGGCCUGAGAGGGUGACCGGCAACAUUGGGACUGAGAUACGGCCCAGAAUCCUACGGGAGGCAGCAGUGGGGAAUAUUGCACAAUGGGCGGAAGCCUGAUGCAGCAAAGCCGCGUGCGGGAUGAAGGCCUUCGGGUUGUAAACCGCUUUCGCCUGUGACGAAGCGUGAGUGACGGUAAUGGGUAAAGAAGCACCGGCUAACUACGUG